This 465-nucleotide ribosomal RNA is filed under the name uncultured bacterium. RNAcentral's name for it is "partial 16S ribosomal RNA". It matches the Rfam family "Bacterial small subunit ribosomal RNA", at positions 338 to 795 of the family's 1533-position model. The record is from RNAcentral.
CCUACGGGUGGCAGCAGUAGGGAAUCUUCCACAAUGGACGAAACCCUGAUGGAGCAACGCCGCGUGAGUGAAGAAGGGUUUCGGUUCGUAAAGCUCUGUUGGUAGUGAAGAAAGACGGAGGGAGUAACUGGCCUCUAUGUGACGGUACUUACUUAGAAAGUCACGGCUAACUACGUGCCAGCAGCCGCGGUAAUACGUAGGUGGCAAGCGUUGUCCGGAUUUAUUGGGCGUAAAGCGAGUGCAGGCGGGUAAAUAAGUCUGGUGUGAAAGCCUUCGGCUCAACCGGAGUAUAGCAUCAGAAACCGUGCAACUUGAGUGCAGGAGAGGAGCGUGGAACUCCAUGUGUAGCGGUGGAAUGCGUAGAUAUAUGGAAGAACACCAGUGGCGAAGGCGGCGCUCUGGUCUGCAACUGACGCUGAGGCUCGAAAGUAUGGGUAGCGAACAGGAUUAGAUACCCCAGUAGUC